GAUAAACGCUGGCGGCGUGCAUAACACAUUCAAGUCGAACGGGAAUCGGAUGAUUGAGACUUCGGUCGAUUGAUUUCGAGGAUAGUGGCGGACGGGUGAGUAACGCGUGAGCAACCUGCCUUCAUGAGGGGGAUAACAGUGGGAAACGACUGCUAAUACCGCAUAACGUAUUAAAGCGACAUCGCUUAAAUAUCAAAGGAGUAAUCCGCAUGAAGAUGGGCUCGCGUCUGAUUAGCUAGAUGGCGGGGUAACGGCCCACCAUGGCGACGAUCAGUAGCCGGUCUGAGAGGAUGAACGGCCACAUUGGGACUGAGAUACGGCCCAGACUCCUACGGGAGGCAGCAGUGGGGAAUAUUGGGCAAUGGGGGAAACCCUGACCCAGCAACGCCGCGUGAAGGAAGAAGGCCUUCGGGUUGUAAACUUCUUUACCUAGGGACGAAGAACGUAGACGGUACCU
This 457-nucleotide ribosomal RNA is filed under the name uncultured bacterium. Its description in RNAcentral is "bacterial SSU rRNA". It matches the Rfam family "Bacterial small subunit ribosomal RNA", at positions 28 to 480 of the family's 1533-position model. The record is from RNAcentral.